Molecule: ribosomal RNA, 254 nt
Filed under: uncultured bacterium
Lineage: Bacteria
Description: partial 16S ribosomal RNA
Rfam family: Bacterial small subunit ribosomal RNA
Source: RNAcentral
UACGGAGGGUGCAAGCGUUGUUCGGAAUUAUUGGGCGUAAAGCGCGCGCAGGCGGCCUGGAAAGUCUAUGGGUGAAAUGCCGGGGCUCAACCCCGUGCAUGCCCAGGAUACUGCCAGGCUGGAGACACGUAGAGGCAAGCGGAAUUCCGGGUGUAGCGGUGGAAUGCGUAGAGAUCCGGAAGAACACCGGAGGCGAAGGCGGCCUGCUGGGCGUGAUCUGACGCUGAGGCGCGAAAGCGUGGGGAGCGAACAGG